UUUUUGGACUCAUUUUAAUGGGUUGUGCAUGGCAACCCAAUAUGCUCACACAUGCACACAAGAAUCACAUGCAGAAAUCAAAGUUUCAAGACAGGACAGCUACUGCAUGUGCCUGCACUCUGGUAUUUUCGAGUUUGUUUUCUUUUUUCUUACUUAGUAUAACCUAGUAAAUUGAAUUUACAACCCACUAAGAAGUCACAGCCUGAGGACUGGAAAACAGUGAAUUAAACAACCUCUUUGAGCGCUCUAGCUCUUCCAGAAAACCAGGUUUGGCUGCAACAUCCUCAGCAUGCGUCAGCAAGGAGGGAGGCAACUCAGCCCAUGUCCCCAUGUUACACAGGAGACAGAACAGGGGCUCUCCGUGGACUGCCCCAUUAAGUCAGUCGGAGCGCUUAGACUCAGAUCGCCCAAACUUCAUGGAUUUCCACUCGAUCACACUAACUUUCCACGCGGCUUUCAAAGUCAUUGCUAAGCCCUGUUUCCAUGAUGCCACACUCAAGUUUUAAGUGGAAAUCUAUUAUGAGAUGGAAACUUGUUUUGGAAACUAGACUGCUGCAGAAAAAGCACACUGUCAAGAGUCUUCGCUUCAGGUGCAGUGGGUGGGAAGAACCUACAGCAUGCAGUCUACAGGGUAGCUGCUUUUAAAAGCGAGUUUCGGGCCGGGCGCGAUGGCUCAAGCCUGUAAUCCCAGCACUUUGGGAGGCCGAGACGGGUGGAUCACAAGGUCAGGAGAUCGAGACCAUCCUGGCUAACACGGUGAAACCCCGUCUCUACUAAAAAAUACAAAAAACUAGCCGGGCGAGCUGGCGGGCGCCUGUGGUCCCAGCUACUCGGGAGGCUGAGGCAGGAGAAUGGCGGGAACCCGGGAGGCGGAGCUUGCAGUGAGCUGAGAUCAGGCCACUGCACUCCAGCCUGGGCGACAGAGCGAGACUCUGUCUCAAAAAAAUAAAUAAAUAAAUAAAAGCGAGUUUCGGGGGGCGCUGGGGGGACCACUAGAACUAUCAUUCAACAGUCAUUUGCUGCUCUCCAGGAAACGCCAGCAGCUGCAGACAACAUCUGGAAUCAGAAGUGAACACCUGAGUAAUGACCCUCCAGGCCAUAAAGAUGGUCUUCCGAUGAGAAAGCCAGGGCUCCCAGACACCACGUGUCCUGCAUGGAAUCGCUGUCUGGCCAAUGGCAGGGCCCACGAGGAAGCCUGGGACUUUCAAGGACGGCCCCGCACUAUUCUAAAAAUGUUUCCACCAUCAAUACCCACUUGAAUGGGCCCAUGCCUGUGGGAAGGCACUAUCAACUCACACCAGUUCCAAAGGAAGAAACCCAGGCUCAGGGGCUUCCCAGUGAAGACAAGCACAUAGCCCCGCCCCCCGAAAACCACGCCCCAGACUAGAGUGUGAGGUCCUCCACUGGACAGACCCCGUGGCUCCUCCUCAGGAUCCUAGAAUAGGCUGCUCAGUGACAUGCGCUGAAGGGGGCAGGGACAGGCGCUGGGAGAUCCUGCCCGUGCAGACAAAGUCCUCUCAGGAAGCAAACCACAUUUCCAAUCUGCUGAACCACGCUCAGUAAAAUAAAAUCCAGGCUAAUUAGCUAUGCCCUCAACUCAAAAGGAAUCUGAAGAGUACACAAGUUAGUUACACGUUGUAACCAAAGCAGUUAGGGAAAGCUUCUGAGAUGAUGAAAACCAAGGGAAAGGGGAUGGAGAUGAACAAAAAUGACCUCAUUAAGCGAGAGGCAGGAGAAGCCACACCACUUCUGGAAAAGUGUAACAAUAAGGCAAGAACUCAGGUUCCUAGGGAGAGGGACAUGGGCUGAGGUUGACUUGGUGCCUGCAAGCAAAUUCCUUAACUUCCCUGCCCUCUUGGCACCUCAUGCCCGACACAGCCUCUGGUAUUGGGACGGCUGUGGUAUCAGUGGGCUGCUCUCCUUCAGGCCGAGCCGCCCCUGUGGCGCGCCGGGCUCACCUCGUCCUCCUUGUCGUUGCAGAUGCCGCGGACCUAGUCCUGCAGGUUACUGUCGAACAUGCAGUCGAUGAUGCCCUUCACCAUCUUGAGGGCCAUCGCGGCGGCCCACGGGCUUUGCCCCGGGAGGCCCGCGACCGGUCGCCGUGAGGGGGUCCGAGGGCCGCGCCCGCCUCCCGUGGACCGCUGUACUGCCGGCUCCUGCGGCGGGUCAGGCUCCCAGGCCAGGGCGGCGGCGUCCGAGGACUGCGGCAGAGGCGGCGACCCGCUAGGCACGGUCCGCGAUCCCACUCCGGGACACUUGCAAACGGCGAAC
This 2271-nucleotide long non-coding RNA is filed under the name Macaca fascicularis (crab-eating macaque). RNAcentral's name for it is "lncRNA (ENSMFAG00000060917.1)". Lineage: Eukaryota; Metazoa; Chordata; Mammalia; Primates; Cercopithecidae. The record is from RNAcentral.